AAAAAGACAUGUCUUACUUUGAACAAGACGAGGAUCUAAAAAUGUUUACAACUUCGUUAGGUUAAGAAAUUAAGGCCAAAUGAGCCAUUACUUAGCAACUAUUAUCAAAUAAUCAUGUGUCCUUUUUUUUUUUUUUAAAAUUAGUUCAACUUUUGUUCAAAUAUCAAUGAAAUAUGUUCAAUAUUUUUGUGGUGGGAGUUGCUGGCUAUGGAUUUAUCGAAAGUGUAGAUGAAGUUUGAGUUUUGCUAAG
This 250-nucleotide long non-coding RNA is filed under the name Olea europaea (common olive). Its description in RNAcentral is "long non-coding RNA (OEUR_LNC008902)". Lineage: Eukaryota; Viridiplantae; Streptophyta; Magnoliopsida; Lamiales; Oleaceae. The record is from RNAcentral.